This 449-nucleotide ribosomal RNA is filed under the name uncultured bacterium. RNAcentral's name for it is "partial 16S ribosomal RNA". It matches the Rfam family "Bacterial small subunit ribosomal RNA", at positions 29 to 523 of the family's 1533-position model. The record is from RNAcentral.
AACGAACGCUGGCGGCAGGCCUAACACAUGCAAGUCGAACGCCCUAGCAAUAGGGAGUGGCAGACGGGUGAGUAACACGUGGGAACGUGCCCUUCGGUUCGGAAUAACUCAGGGAAACUUGAGCUAAUACCGGAUAAGUGCGAGAGCAGAAAGAUUUAUCGCCGUAGGAUCGGCCCGCGUCCGAUUAGCUAGUUGGUGAGGUAAUGGCUCACCAAGGCGACGAUCGGUAGCUGGUCUGAGAGGAUGACCAGCCACACUGGGACUGAGACACGGCCCAGACUCCUACGGGAGGCAGCAGUGGGGAAUAUUGGACAAUGGGCGCAAGCCUGAUCCAGCCAUGCCGCGUGAGUGAUGAAGGCCCUAGGGUUGUAAAGCUCUUUCGCCAGGGACGAUAAUGACGGUACCUGGAUAAGAAGCCCCGGCUAACUUCGUGCCAGCCGCCGCGGUAA